UACGGGGGGGGCAAGCGUUGUUCGGAAUUACUGGGCGUAAAGGGCUCGUAGGCGGCCAACUAAGUCAGACGUGAAAUCCCUCGGCUCAACCGGGGAACUGCGUCUGAGACUGGAAGGCUUGAAUCCGGGAGAGGGAUGUGGAAUUCCAGGUGUAGCGGUGAAAUGCGUAGAUAUCUGGAGGAACACCGGUGGCGAAGGCGGCAUCCUGGACCGAUAUUGACGCUGAUGCGCGAAAGCCAGGGGAGCAAACGGG
RNAcentral lists this ribosomal RNA (253 nucleotides) under uncultured bacterium. Its description in RNAcentral is "partial 16S ribosomal RNA". It matches the Rfam family "Bacterial small subunit ribosomal RNA", at positions 524 to 776 of the family's 1533-position model. The record is from RNAcentral.